RNAcentral lists this long non-coding RNA (1423 nucleotides) under Homo sapiens (human). RNAcentral describes it as "HSALNT0112428". The record is from RNAcentral. Lineage: Eukaryota; Metazoa; Chordata; Mammalia; Primates; Hominidae.
AGCAUCUCUGUACCAGUCACACUGGCCUUAUAGAACAAAUGAGUGACCUGAGAUAUUACAGCUUGUAAGAGGUGAAGGCUAUACAGGAAGCAUGAUGCUGGUGUCUGCUCAGCUUCUGGGGAGAACUCAGGAAACUUACAAUCAUGGCAGAAGGCAAAGAGGAAGCAAGUGCAUCUUACAUGGCUGGAGCAAGAUCGUGAGAGAGUGGGGAGGUGCUGCACACUUUUAAACAACCAAAUCUCGUUGUUUUGCCACAACACCAUCAAGGAGAAUGAUGUUAAACCAUGAGAAACCACCCCUAGACCCACCAGGCCCUACCUCCAACACUGGGGAUUACAGUUUGACAGGAGAUUUGGGUGGGGACACAGAUCCAAGCCAUAUCAUUACAUAUUUCUUUAUUUCUGUUUGUAUAAACUCUGGUUUUCUAUUUUAUUAAAUAAAUUAAAAUCCAUUACUAUUAUUGUCUAUUCUGAUACUCAAAUUGGCAAAGAUUUGACCAGGGCCAGCUCCUUUGUGCUGGCUUCUUUGUCCUCUUGACAUGUCUUUACUCUUUGAUACUUAUUUUAUGGCAUAACGGAAGAUUCAGACUCAACUCUUAGUUUUUUUGCCCCAUGCCUGGAAUCAAAUAUUUCUACUAGGAACCUUGGUUCUUUUAAAAGGAAAAUGUUUUUUAGUAUGCAAAAUCUGGUUACACUCAUGACUAUGUAUGCAACACUGCUUCCAGGCUCUCUCAAUGGAUAGGACUAGGGAAUAUAUGCAAGUUCACAAACACACACACACACACACUCACUUGCAUCUAUAUUUAUAACUCUCUCCAUAUAUACUGGAAACCAUAAGUUCACACUGAAAUUUCCAAUUCCAAUCUAACACCACAGAGUUCAUUCUAGUUUUCUCUAUUUCUAGAUUUGUAACUCCCUUCUCUGACAGUGAAAAACAGGCUCCCAUUAUUCUAAAUAUUUUUACUUAUUUGAUGAAUUUUCCUGUAUGUAACUGAUCUCAUUCCUGCCACUGCCCUCUUCCCCCAAGAAUAUCCUUCUGCUAAGGUAUAGCAAAGAUUAUGUGCUGGAAACUUAAUGCCCAAUGCAAUAGUGUUGAGAGGUGGGAUGUUUAUGAGGUGAUUAAGUCAUGAGGGCUCUUCCCUCAUGAAUGAAUUAAUGCUGAUAUAAUGAGAAUGGGUUCUUGAGAAGAAGGAUGAGUCUGGUCUCCUUCCUCUCGUUCUUUCCCUCUGUUGCCUUUCUAUCUUCUGCUAUGGGAUGACACAGCAUGAAGGCCCUCCCUAUAUGCCAGUGCCAUGCUCUUGGACUUUCCAGUCUUCAGAAUUUUAAGCCAAAUAAACUUAUACUGUUUAUAAAUUACUCAGUGUGUGGCAUUCUGUUAUAUCACCACAAAAUGAAUGAAGAUACCUCCUUAACACCACUCACAG